UUUCUCUGACAUCAAGAACUGUGUCUUUAACAGGGUUCUCAUGGACUGAACAGAGUCUGCUAUUCACGAUGCCUCUGACCUUCACCUUGGGUAAUCAGAAUAUGAAACAUUCUUUUGUAAGUUUUCCUACGACUCCCAUGAAUUUACUUGAGCGAGCUUUGCUGAUAAAGAUGGCAGCAACAAUCAUGUGCUCGGCUGAUGGAAUAAUUGUUGCUUUUCCUGAUGGCACCUCCCUUCUUUGUGGAAAUUUCCAAACAGAAGGACAGUAUCUGAUCCAGCCAGUGGUGUCUGAGUUUGCUGACAUCUAUUGGGGACUUUUAACAAAUUUACCCUACAGCAGCCUAAUGUCAACGUUCUUGGCCUGGAAGCCCUGGCUCCUGUGUCUGCGCUUCUGUGUUCCUCCUCCGGGUCCACCACACGUGACCCUGUUCUGCGACAGAGACGCCUCUGAAUGGUACCAGGAACCUUUCCUUUCCACUUUGAAGGAAACAACCUGGCAGCACCAAGUGAAAAAAUUGGGCGUGAUGAUGAAACGUUCCCUGGCAGCCACAGAUUCGAUUGCCACAGCAGCACUAGGUUUGUUUUCCUCCCAUACUCUUUACACAUGUAAUAUCUGUCAUUCAGGGUCUGAUCACAUAAUAAGUCUUAAAGGAAAAUGUACUGCAAUUUUCCAUAAAUCAGUGACCUUAGACAUUCUGAUGAGGCUCCUUGGUUUGUAAAAGUAACAAUCUUCAAACAUAUUUGUCAGCAUAUCUACAUUUCUUAAUUAAAUGGUUUUCUUUAUAUUGUUUGGUAAGAUAUUCCGAUUUAAUCUGUCAUAUUUCCAUUAACUGUAAGCAUAAAAUUAUUGUCAUUACUAGACUUAAAGACUUUAGUUAUGUGUUUCACUUUUUGAACUGAUUUACUAAAAUAAAUUAACAUUUAAUAUGCAAUGCAUAAAAAUAUUUUUAACGUUGAAUGUUCCCUCAUAAUGGAAUCGAUUUUAGUUUAACCAGGUUUUGCAAGAUAUUUUGCAGGACUGCCCACUAGACCUUUUGCUUGCUGCACCAGUAACAGAGACCUGCGUUAAAGCCACCUCUCUGGUUUUGCAGUGCCUGCGUCAAACAGAUUUUAAGGUCAGUAAAAGCAGAUUGCUCGAAAACAGGCUAAGUUUCUGGGUAGAAUAAUUUCAGCAGGAACGACUGGCAUGUCCCCAUGGAACAAGCUUUUGUCUCUCUCCAACAACACAUGGCUUUGGCUGCAGAGCUCUCCAUCCCUGAAUACAUUUUACAGUUCUUUGAGGAUAUUUCUGGAACAAACCUGACUGUUUUGUUUCAGAAAAAGGGGGAGGAAAAGGGCAUCACCCUUGUACACAACAGGCAGCUGGGAUACCUGCUGCCUGAUACAAAAACUGAACACAUAGUCAUGGGACAUUCACUGAGUUUCACCAUGACAGCGUUGAGGCAACAAACACUUUCCAAAGUCCUGAAAGCUCCAAACAUUUCAUUCACACACCAAGACAUAAAUAUGGCAGACUGUUUUUCAGAAGGAGAACCACACGUGUGUGCAGACCUGGUGGCAAAGACAGACAAGGUAACACCAGGACUUCAGCAGCUCCUCUGCUGGGACCAGAGGUGAGACAGUUCUUUACAGAUGGUUGUUGUUUCAGAAACAACACACAAGGGUUAAGAGCCUGGAAGAGGUGGUAAGAUGCCAAAAGGGGGCGCCACCUGAAGAGAAAAACGUGAAACAAAUGGGUGCUGGAGGGGCCCAGAUGGCAGGUUAAUUCUGCCUCCUGGGAAAAUACAAGAGCUGCUCCAAGAAGCUCACAGGGUUGGAUAUGUUGGGACGAAGCAGAUGAUGCACAAUCUUAAAGAGUGGUGGCACCCCCAAAUGAUCCACAUGGUGAAACAUUUUGUGAAAAAUUGUUCGGUGUGCGGACAGCUGAAUCCUAAGAAAACUUUGAAUCCACAUCAGGGACAGUUUCCUUCAGUCACAUGUCCAGGGAAAGAAAUUGUGUUGGAUUCUACUGACAUAAUAAACACGUUGCAAGACAAAAAUAUUUGCUGAUUUGUGUUGAUGCUUUCACAGGAUGGCCUGAAGCCUGGCCAGCAACAGCAGAAGAUAGUAAAAUCAUCAUAAAAUGUCUAAUCAAUCAUUACCUCCCAAGGCAAAGCAGAAUGAAUGAAUCAAAAUUUAAAACAAAAUUGGCUAAGGUUUGUGCACAAACAAAAUUAAAUUGGGUUGAUACAUUACACAGGAACCAACUUGUGGUUAGACUGAUUAACUGCAACAGCACGAUAAUAUCAAAUGUCUAACUGUGUGGCCUGCACAGCUGGACGACCCAGAAUCUAUACUGAACCUGCUUCUUUGAUUCCAUCUGACAUUUGGGGUUUUAACUGCAUGCUUAAUAUGACUAAGUUUAAACAGCCCUCUGGAGGUGACACUUUAACAGCUUUAUUUCCAGUAAUCAACAGCGGAGCCCGGAUGGUGCCGCUAUUCCAGUUAAAGAUAACUAUGUCUAUUUCAAUUUUACAACAGGUAACCGCAGUGUGGGCCGGAUCCCUGAAAGUUGGUGUAACAUCACAUUCCCACAGCACUUAAUAGGCUAGAGAUGGGAUAUUUUAUCUAUGCAGGGGUAAUAAACUAAUUGAGAGAACAUAGACUGGUGUGACAGGUGUCUGUGCUAUGGUGAGACUUAGAGCCUGUGUCAUCAUGGUAGGUGAACAACAACCUCUGAAUCACAGCAUCUUUUCACAGGUCAAGUGCAGCGAAACUGUGGAGCUGCAACUUUCCAGAUUUUAAAUGUAAAAAGUCCAAUCCUUUCUCGGUGUGCCUGGAUGAAAAUGAGGCAUCUGGACACACGUAGAAACUGGUUGACAUCAACAGAUACUAGACGACACAAUUUUGAAUUAAGUUUGCAGAUCUCAUUAAAACAAAUUAAUCCUGUUGACUUCUUAAGAUUUGGCCAGUAUCAUUACAUUGUGUUAAGACUGAAUUUUUAUCUAAAACAUUGAUUGCCAAGUUUAAAAUGUGUUUUCAUUUUGUUCACUAAACAUAUUUCUUUUCAGUUGGUAAGUUUGUAUCCCUUUAUGACCACUAACUACUUUUAUAUUUUGAACUUAAAGAUUUCACCUCUCGAGUACUAAAAGGGAUCUUAACAAUACUUUGUUUAGGAUUUUAUUUGUCAGUGUUAUAUCUAACAUUUAAUCAUUUAUCUUAUUCUCAUUAAGUUUUGGCUCAUCCAAGCUUUCAUAUUGACUAACAUUUUAUUCAUCUUGCAUUAUUCAAUUUAUAGUUUACCGGCAUUCACAGUAUUAACCUCACAUUGUAUUCUAUUUACAUUUUAUUGUUUGUUCACGUUUCACUAAUU
This is a long non-coding RNA of Gambusia affinis (western mosquitofish), 3352 nucleotides long. RefSeq lists it as uncharacterized. The record is from RefSeq and is a predicted model, not a curated record. Lineage: Eukaryota; Metazoa; Chordata; Actinopteri; Cyprinodontiformes; Poeciliidae. The transcript has 2 exons.